Molecule: long non-coding RNA, 1325 nt
Filed under: Vulpes vulpes (red fox)
Lineage: Eukaryota; Metazoa; Chordata; Mammalia; Carnivora; Canidae
Description: lncRNA (ENSVVUG00000004183.1)
Source: RNAcentral
UUGCUCUUUCUUUUUCUUUUUUUCUUUUGGCAUAAAGUUUUGAAAAAGUUACUUUAAAAUGUUCUAUUAAAUCGAUUUUCAGGAUCGUGAAUGUUGGAAGAUUGACAGCUCUGGGAAGAGCGCCAUCUCUCAAGUGUGCAUUUUAGGAGUAGCAGUGAGAUGAAAUUGCCCCCCUCUCACUACCUUAUGAAGCCUCUGCUGACAUGACGUGAUGUGCCCAGCACUCAGCACAGGAGGGAGAUGUUUCCGUGACUCCUUCGGCUCUCACUUUUUUUGCCAUUCCCUCCAAGUUACUGUGACUUCAUGGAAUAUCUUUGCCAGAUGGUGGUGGUCUUCCUAUAGUGAGACGUGUAGGCAACAUAAAGAUCCACACUAGGUAGACCUGGUACUGUCCCUUCACUCAAGCUUGUCCUGCCCAGGCCUUGGGAACAACAAUUUGAAACAUUGGGUCUUAGUACGUAGCAUCCAUACUCAGAAGUCAAAAUGGAAAACUGACCUCAUGCAGUUGCAGUGCUUGUUUCUCUUACACUGAAUACAAAGCCUUUGGUAGACCCUCAGGGGACAUCAGAUGGAAAAGCAAGUACGUCAGGUUGAUUUGGGAAAUUGGUGCAGUAAGCUCCCCGGAAUCACAACCCUCGUGUUUCCUUAAUUAGAGAGGUGGCCCUACAAUCAAUAUUCUUGCUAUUCUUUGCUAUGCCAUUCCCCGUGCUUCCCAGCUAGCUACUCUGGGGAUUUUCAGCUGACGACGGUGCAAUCCUCCUGGGACUGUGCAAGGCACAGAGGGGGAGAGGGAACAUAAUUUGUUGGCCUGUUAUAUGGGGUUGCUAAAGCACAGGACUGCAUUCAUCAAAGCCAGCAUGGUUCCCCUGCAAUUUUAUAUUCAGAAUGCGUGUUCUGUGGUUCACUUACAAGUGAUGGCAGGAUGCAGCAGAUAGACCGAAGCAUUGUCUAGAAAUGUUUAAGCAUUUUAAUUUUCCCCCCUUUUGCUGCAAGAAGAGAAUACGCAAAACUCCAAGUAAGAUCUACUGUCCCAAGACCUGAACUCUGCCCAGAUGUCUGUUACCUGCUGCUUAGAAAUGUACAAGUAUUUGAGAAAGAAGGAUGGAACUUUUCUAUCACUAUGGGAAUCUGAAACUAGUUUAUAUUUUUGUACCCAAUGAAAGAAACAAAGGUGAGAAGAAAGAAAAUAACUGAUUAGUCUUGAGGCAUGGUCAAAACAGGUCACCUAGGCUGUGUUUAUAGGGAUAAUAUAAUUACAGCUAUUUUCAAAAGUGUUCAGCCUCCCCCAAAAUAAAUAUUAGUGAGGAAAGAUAAGUUAGGAACCC